RNAcentral lists this ribosomal RNA (377 nucleotides) under uncultured bacterium. Its description in RNAcentral is "bacterial SSU rRNA". It matches the Rfam family "Bacterial small subunit ribosomal RNA", at positions 521 to 896 of the family's 1533-position model. The record is from RNAcentral.
UAAGACAGAGGCCUCAAGCGUUAGGCGGAAUCACUGGGCUUAAAGCGUGUGUAGGCGGGUCGUUAAGUACCUUGUGAAAUCCCACGGCUCACCCGUGGAACUGCUGGGUAUACUGGCGAUCUUGGGCCAUUUAGGGGCAACUGGAACAAGCGGUGGAGCGGUGAAAUGCGUAGAUAUCGCUUGGAACGCCAAAGGUGAAAACAGGUUGCUGGGAAUGUGCCGACGCUGAGACACGAAAGCCAGGGGAGCAAACGGGAUUAGAUACCCCGGUAGUCCUGGCCCUAAACGAUGUCCACUAGAUUGCGGCGGGUUUGACCCCGUCGCGGUCGAAGCAAAAGUGUUAAGUGGACCGCCUGGGAAGUACGGUCGCAAGGCUA